Molecule: ribosomal RNA, 504 nt
Filed under: uncultured bacterium
Lineage: Bacteria
Description: bacterial SSU rRNA
Rfam family: Bacterial small subunit ribosomal RNA
Source: RNAcentral
UACGUGCCAGCAGCCGCGGUAAUACGGAAGGUCCGGGCGUUAUCCGGAUUUAUUGGGUUUAAAGGGAGCGUAGGCCGGAGAUUAAGUGUGUUGUGAAAUGUAGACGCUCAACGUCUGACUUGCAGCGCAUACUGGUUUCCUUGAGUACGCACAACGUUGGCGGAAUUCGUCGUGUAGCGGUGAAAUGCUUAGAUAUGACGAAGAACUCCGAUUGCGAAGGCAGCUGACGGGAGCGCAACUGACGCUUAAGCUCGAAGGUGCGGGUAUCGAACAGGAUUAGAUACCCUGGUAGUCCGCACAGUAAACGAUGGAUGCCCGCUGUUGGUACUUGGUAUCAGCGGCUAAGCGAAAGCAUUAAGCAUCCCACCUGGGGAGUACGCCGGCAACGGUGAAACUCAAAGGAAUUGACGGGGGCCCGCACAAGCGGAGGAACAUGUGGUUUAAUUCGAUGAUACGCGAGGAACCUUACCCGGGCUUGAAUUGCAGAGGAAGGAUUUAGAGAUA